RNAcentral lists this ribosomal RNA (465 nucleotides) under uncultured bacterium. RNAcentral describes it as "partial 16S ribosomal RNA". It matches the Rfam family "Bacterial small subunit ribosomal RNA", at positions 28 to 507 of the family's 1533-position model. The record is from RNAcentral.
GAUGAACGCUGGCGGCGUGCUUAACACAUGCAAGUCGAACGGAAAGGCUCCUGCUUGCAGGGGUACUCGAGUGGCGAACGGGUGAGUAACACGUGGGUGAUCUGCCCUGCACUUCGGGAUAAGCCUGGGAAACUGGGUCUAAUACCGGAUAGGACGAUGGUUUGGAUGCCAUUGUGGAAAGUUUUUCGGUGUGGGAUGAGCUCGCGGCCUAUCAGCUUGUUGGUGGGGUAAUGGCCUACCAAGGCGUCGACGGGUAGCCGGCCUGAGAGGGUGUACGGCCACAUUGGGACUGAGAUACGGCCCAGACUCCUACGGGAGGCAGCAGUGGGGAAUAUUGCACAAUGGGCGCAAGCCUGAUGCAGCGACACCGCGUGGGGGAUGACGGCCUUCGGGUUGUAAACUCCUUUCGCUAGGGACGAAGCGCAAGUGACGGUACCUGGAGAAGAAGCACCGGCUAACUACGUG